RNAcentral lists this ribosomal RNA (468 nucleotides) under uncultured bacterium. RNAcentral's name for it is "partial 16S ribosomal RNA". It matches the Rfam family "Bacterial small subunit ribosomal RNA", at positions 28 to 507 of the family's 1533-position model. The record is from RNAcentral.
GACGAACGCUGGCGGCGUGCUUAACACAUGCAAGUCGAACGGAAAGGCCCUGCUUUUGUGGGGUGCUAGAGUGGCGAACGGGUGAGUAACACGUGAGUAACAUGCACUUGACUUUGGGAUAACUUCAGGAAACUGGGGCUAAUACCGGAUACGAGCUCCUGCUGCAUGGUGGGGGUUGGAAAGUUUCGGCGGUUGGGGAUGGACUCGCGGCUUAUCAGCUUGUUGGUGGGGUAGUGGCUUACCAAGGCUUUGACGGGUAGCCGGCCUGAGAGGGUGACCGGCCACAUUGGGACUGAGAUACGGCCCAGACUCCUACGGGAGGCAGCAGUGGGGAAUAUUGCACAAUGGGCGGAAGCCUGAUGCAGCAACGCCGCGUGCGGGAUGACGGCCUUCGGGUUGUAAACCGCUUUCGCCUGUGACGAAGCGUGAGUGACGGUAAUGGGUAAAGAAGCACCGGCUAACUACGUG